UCCAGCACUUGUCUUCGUGUUGAAAAAUCCAGCUUUUACGAUGCCAUGUUCUUCUAGGUUCUUUCUUAUUAUUGAUUCUUUUAUAUCCUAAUUAGAUUUUUUAUAUAUAUUAAAGGUUUUAUAUGUUAAUCCAGCUUACCACAAAUAAUAUUUAUUUUUAUUGAUCAUAUUAUCCCGAAAUUUACUUUGUUUCGCUCCAUGACAAACACAUUGAGAACAGCAUAACAUUAUAAUUUUGCAAUUUUUGAAACGGAUUGUGUAGCACGGGAUUUUUAUACCCAAAGAAUUCAUUUUGAGCAGAUAUCGUAAGGCACGGGCGACUUUCCUAUUCAUUUCUCGAAUUGAGAACAGCAUAACAUUAUAAUUUUGCAAUUUUUGAAACGGAUUGUGUAUCACGAGAUUUUUAUACCCAAAGAAUUCAUUUUGAGCAGAUAUCGUAAAGCACGGGCGACUUUCCUAUUCAUUUCUCGAAAAGCAUAUUUUCUAUCCAUAUUAUAUAUCCAUUUGCUCUGAAGUUUAUGUUUUACCCAAGUUAGUUGAGAUAAUUUUGGGUUGUAAAUUAGUUAAUUAACGAGGUAAAUUAAAAGUGAAGGUAGCUUUGCCGAAAGCCAAUGUUCUUCACAGUCAGGUGAUUGUCGAACAAACCAAAUAUUUGAGAAGACUUUUAUAGUAAAUUUAUCAUCUCUAUGGCAUAGUAUUCUCAGGUGAGGUUCCAGUCUCAAACCCCCGUCAUCGAGCAAUAAAACCAGAAUUAAAAAGAUUUACUACUUGUGAUGUAAUCCAGUCAUGUGCCCAUAAGAUCACAGGAUUAAAGAUCAUAUGGGCGAGUUAGCUGGAAUUACAGAAAGUAAUAGUUAAACUACUUUCCUUAUUUUAAUGUUGCAAACGAAGAAAUUGCCUCAAAACAUCAAAGGUUUAGGGACAGAGUGCGUUUGCUAGAUUAGCUCGCAAGGAAAUAUAAACAAAACAAAAUCAGGAAGAUGUGAAGUGAUGUGCCAGUAGAUUAAGGGCCUGGAAAAUCAGAGGAGAAAUCAGAUCCAGGCGAGUGAUACUGGCUGAAUUAUCGUCUAUUUCGCAAGUUUUGUGAUAAUAAACUGCCUGGAUCGUUUUAUUUCGAAACCCAGGCAAGAAGCUGACUUGCUUUCCUAUUUCCUUUUCAAUCAGAUAAUAUUUCAAUAAAGAAGUAGCAGAAGAGAAAACAUGGCUUACCGUACCGUGGUAUUAGGUCGAAACUGAUGAGGCAGGAGGCGGAGCGGGGUUGACCUGUGCAGGAGGAAGAAGC
This 1282-nucleotide long non-coding RNA is filed under the name Populus tremula. RNAcentral describes it as "long non-coding RNA (PTRE_LNC001003)". The record is from RNAcentral. Lineage: Eukaryota; Viridiplantae; Streptophyta; Magnoliopsida; Malpighiales; Salicaceae.